GUUUGACUAAUGACAUUUUCUUGUUUGCAGGAUGAAAGCUGUAUCACGUUGCGUGACCUAAAAGGUUCUAAACUUUCGGGAAGUGUUUUCAAUAUCCUUUUCAAUCUCAACAAGUUCAUGGCCUUUGAAUCUCGCGAUCCGUUCCUCAUUCGUCAGGAACGCGAGAAUCCUAAAUUGACGGAGUGGGACCGUUUUGCACAUAGAGAAUACAUUCGGCUUUCAAUGGAAGAAGAUGUGGAAGAUGCCUCGAACGGAAGUGCAGAAGUUUGGGAUGAGUCACUUGAGGCUCCCUUCUAAGUUUGAAGGGUGCUUAGAGAAGAGCUCAACACAUUGCUUAUCUGCUGGGCGACGACAGAAAGGGAAUGUUGCCUUGAAUGGGCGAUGAAGAUUCAUCAGAACUCUUUGGAGAAAAUUUGAGCUUGGCCUUGUGCAG
Long non-coding RNA from Hibiscus syriacus, 433 nucleotides. RefSeq lists it as uncharacterized. NCBI's taxonomy places the organism in Eukaryota, Viridiplantae, Streptophyta, Magnoliopsida, Malvales, Malvaceae. The transcript is spliced from 3 exons. The record is from RefSeq and is a predicted model, not a curated record.